Molecule: long non-coding RNA, 1338 nt
Filed under: Numida meleagris (helmeted guineafowl)
Lineage: Eukaryota; Metazoa; Chordata; Aves; Galliformes; Numididae
Description: lncRNA (ENSNMEG00000005979.1)
Source: RNAcentral
AUGGGACGGGAAAGCAAAGCGUUCCCGUUCGUUUCAAUGAACUUUCUGGGGCCGCAGGGAUUGAUUUGGGCUUUUUNCAUGCACCAGGAGCAGAGCAUUGCAGGGUGCCAUGCUUUGCACCAGGGCGUUGCAGGGUGCCAUGCACCAGGAGCAGCGUGCUGGAGGGUGCCUUGCUUUGCACCAGGGCGUUGCAGGGUGCCGUGCUUUGCACCGAGGCGUUGCAUGGUGCCAUGCUUUGCACCAGGGUGUUGCAGGAUGCCAUGCACCAGGAGCAGAGCAUUGCAGGGUGCCAUGCUUUGCACCAAGGCGUUGCCGGAUGCCCUGCACCAGGAGCAGGGUGUUGCAGGGUGCCAUGCACCAGGAGCAGAACAUUGCAGGGUGCCAUGCACCAGGAGCAGAACAUUGCAGGGUGCCAUGCACCAGGAGCAGAACAUUGCAGGGUGCCAUGCUUUGCACCGAGGCAUUGCGGGGUGCCAUGCUUUGCACCGAGGCAUUGCAGGGUGCCAUGCUUUGCACCGAGGCAUUGCAGGGUGCCAUGCUUUGCACCGAGGCAUUGCAGGGCGCCAUGCACCAGGAGCAGGGUUUUGCAGGGUGCCUUGCACCAGGGCGUUGCAGGGUGCUGUGCCUUGUACCAAGGUGUUGCAGGGUGUCAUGCAUCAGGAGCGGAGCGUUGCAGGGUGCCCUGCUUUGCACCAGGGCGUUGCAGGGUGCCCUGCUUUGCACCGAGGCGUUGCAGGGUGCCAUGCUUUGCACCAGGGCGUUGCAGGGUGCUAUGCUUUGCACCAGGGCGUUGCAGGGUGCCAUGCACCAGGAGCAGGGUUUUGCAGGGUGCCUUGCACCGGGGUGUUGCAGGGUGCCAUGCUUUGCACCAGGGUCACAUUCUGGCAUUUGACACGUUGGGAUUUUUCCAACCUGGGGGGGCCCGAUGCGCCGCGUGGGUCCCCGGGGCUUUCUGGCUCCCCCUGGGACCUGCUGGCGGGUCACGGCCCGUUGGACGGUGUUUGCACCGAGCUGUUUGUCUGCUGCCUUCUUUUGAUUUGCGUGACUUUUUGGGCAGUUUUGCAUCACGGCCUGCUGGGAAAGGGUGCAGGAAGGGGAGCUGGAAACGUGGUUUCCGUGGGUUUUGUCCUGCGUGCUGGGUGGGGGUUUGCUCCAUUCCUGUGCGGCAGCAGCGUUUGGGGCUCCAGGGUCACCCCAACACCCUCCUGCUCACCCCCACCGGCCCUCGGGGUCCUCGGGACCGGAGCUGGGAGCACCCACGGGCAUCCCUGGAAGCAGGGAGCGGCAGCCACGUGUGCUCCCAGCCCGAGUCCCAUUGGGAUGGGAUCCCACUCUUGA